RNAcentral lists this ribosomal RNA (467 nucleotides) under uncultured bacterium. Its description in RNAcentral is "partial 16S ribosomal RNA". It matches the Rfam family "Bacterial small subunit ribosomal RNA", at positions 28 to 506 of the family's 1533-position model. The record is from RNAcentral.
GACGAACGCUGGCGGCGUGCUUAACACAUGCAAGUCGAACGGAAAGGCCCUGCUUUUGUGGGGUGCUCGAGUAGCGAACGGGUGAGUAACACGUGAGUAACCUGCCCUUGACUUUGGGAUAACUUCAGGAAACUGGGGCUAAUACCGGAUAGGAGCUCCUGCUGCAUGGUGGGGGUUGGAAAGUUUCGGCGGUUGGGGAUGGACUCGCGGCUUAUCAGCUUGUUGGUGGGGUAGUGGCUUACCAAGGCUUUGACGGGUAGCCGGCCUGAGAGGGUGACCGGCCACAUUGGGACUGAGAUACGGCCCAGACUCCUACGGGAGGCAGCAGUGGGGAAUAUUGCACAAUGGGCGGAAGCCUGAUGCAGCAACGCCGCGUGCGGGAUGACGGCCUUCGGGUUGUAAACCGCUUUCGCCUGUGACGAAGCGUGAGUGACGGUAAUGGGUAAAGAAGCACCGGCUAACUACGU